AGAGUUUGAUCCUGGCUCAGAACGAACGCUGGUGGCGUGCUUAACACAUGCAAGUCGAACGAGAAAGUUUCCUUCGGGAAAUUAGUAAAGUGGCGCAAGGGUGAGUAACACGUGAAUAAUCUGCCCUCGAGAUCGGGAUAACAUGGUGAAAACUAUGCUAAUACCGGUUAAGACCACAUUUCAUAAGAAAUGUGGGAAAAGAAGUCUCAACCUUCACUCGAGGAUGAGUUCGCGCAACAUUAGCUUGUUGGUGAGAUAAAAGCUCACCAAGGCUACUAUGUUUAGCCGGCCUGAGAGGGUGAACGGCCACACUGGAACUGAGACACGGUCCAGACUCCUACGGGAGGCAGCAGUGGGGAAUAUUGCGCAAUGGGCGAAAGCCUGACGCAGCAACGCCGUGUGAGCGAUGAAGGCUUUAGGGUUGUAAAGCUCUGUCAAAUGGGAAGAAUUAUGACGGUACCAUUAGAGGAAGCCCCGGCUAACUCCGUGCCAGCAGCCGCGGUAAUACGGAGGGGGCAAGCGUUGUUCGGAAUUAUUGGGCGUAAAGCGUAUGUAGGCGGCUAAGUAAGUCAGGCGUGCAAGCCCGUGGCUCAACCACGGAAUUGCGUUUGAAACUG
RNAcentral lists this ribosomal RNA (617 nucleotides) under uncultured bacterium. Its description in RNAcentral is "bacterial SSU rRNA". It matches the Rfam family "Bacterial small subunit ribosomal RNA", at positions 8 to 635 of the family's 1533-position model. The record is from RNAcentral.